This 85-nucleotide transfer RNA is filed under the name Felis catus (domestic cat). It matches the Rfam family "tRNA". From Rfam's summary of the family: Transfer RNA (tRNA) molecules are approximately 80 nucleotides in length. Their secondary structure includes four short double-helical elements and three loops (D, anti-codon, and T loops). The record is from Rfam by way of RNAcentral. RNAcentral also lists the same sequence under 2 other names. Lineage: Eukaryota; Metazoa; Chordata; Mammalia; Carnivora; Felidae.
GCCUGGGUGGCUCAGUCGGUUGAGCGUCCGACUUCAGCUCGGGUCAUGAUCUCACAGUCCGUGAGUUCGAGCCCCACGUCAGGCU